GCCCGGGUGGCGGAACUGGUAGACGCACUGGACUCAAAAUCCAGCGGUAGCAAUACUGUAUCGGUUCGAUUCCGAUCCCGGGCA
This 84-nucleotide transfer RNA is filed under the name Chitinophagaceae bacterium. RNAcentral's name for it is "tRNA-Leu". It matches the Rfam family "tRNA". From Rfam's summary of the family: Transfer RNA (tRNA) molecules are approximately 80 nucleotides in length. Their secondary structure includes four short double-helical elements and three loops (D, anti-codon, and T loops). Further hydrogen bonds mediate the characteristic L-shaped molecular structure. tRNAs have two regions of fundamental functional importance: the anti-codon, which is responsible for specific mRNA codon recognition, and the 3' end, to which the tRNAs corresponding amino acid is attached (by aminoacyl-tRNA synthetases). tRNAs cope with the degeneracy of the genetic code in two manners: having more than one tRNA (with a specific anti-codon) for a particular amino acid; and 'wobble' base-pairing, i.e. permitting non-standard base-pairing at the 3rd anti-codon position. Lineage: Bacteria; Pseudomonadati; Bacteroidota; Chitinophagia; Chitinophagales; Chitinophagaceae. RNAcentral also lists the same sequence under 2 other names. The record is from RNAcentral.